UCUUAAGGAUGCUCUGGGAAAUUGAUUUUAACAAUCUACUAAAGAGAGGAAUCAUCCCAAUACCCACCACAGGCAGUGACACAGAUAUACUUUCAGCAGCAAAAAGGGAAACCAAAUCCCGAACAGUGGCCACUCCAGCUACAGCCCAGAGAAAUGAACUGACAGCUAUGGGAAGAGGAUGUCCAAACCGAUGUGCCUGCUGGAACUGAAUGGAGCACCUUGUGGAGUGAUGGUAACAAACCAACUACAAGCCGCCUGGGGUUUACGAGGACCAGCUGUUCACACGAAAGGAGAGGAAUCAAAUAAAAUACUGAAAAGGGAAGGAGGGAAAUAGGGGGAACAUGCCACGGUAAGGCCGAGGCCAUGUCACGAGAGGACGAGAUCCCUGGGUUUGUGUCUGUGGACCUUGGAGGUGUUCUGCCUCCAGAUCCUCCAGCCAGCCUGUGGAAAUGCCUUCAGUCAAAAAAGGAACUCCUGAAAUUACAAGGCUUUAUGAAGAGGUUCCGUUUCCAAGGGCUGCUCGGAUUUUCUAAGACUUCUCCCAGUUAGCCGGGGGAGAGACGGCGGACAGGCAGAACACCACCCUGCUCCUGGUGGAAAGAAUGGGGAAGAUGACACAGCAAGUUUGAAGUUAAACGAUGAUCAGAACUUGGACACAGAAUCUUCCUUUAGUUUUCUUCCCGUGAAGAGGAGAUGUGAGCUGUAACCUGUAGCAGGAAGUGGCACCUGGCUGCUGAAAACACUGAGAUGACAGUGAAUCUGGAAGCCCAUGCUCCCCUGGGGCUUAAAAUAAUUAUCUUCUUGGGCUGUCAUGGUACCUGAAGUCUACCAUCAAAUCUGCCUCUGUGGGCUAAGACAGGAAUCUUUCCAGGGCAAUGCUUCAAAAACUCUUGGAAGACUUCCCUGAUGGUCCAGAGGUUAAGAAUCCUUCUGCUAAUGCAGGGGCAUGGGUUAUAACCCCGGUUCAGGAAGAUCCCACUUGCCAUGGAGCAACU
This is a long non-coding RNA of Bos taurus (domestic cattle), 995 nucleotides long. The record is from Ensembl. NCBI's taxonomy places the organism in Eukaryota, Metazoa, Chordata, Mammalia, Artiodactyla, Bovidae.